UCAGGAUGAACGCUGGCGGCGUGCCUAAUACAUGCAAGUCGAGCGAUGAGGCCCCUUCGGGGGUACAUCAGCGGCAAACGGGUGAGUAACACGUGGGUGACCUACCCUGAAGACGGGGACAACCCUUGGAAACGGGGGCUAAUACCCGAUGUGCUCGGUCAUUCGGUUGGUCGAGUAAAGGCUGAGGCGCUUCAGGAUGGGCCUGCGGCCCAUCAGCUAGUUGGUAGGGUAACGGCCUACCAAGGCGGAGGCGGGUAGGGGGCGUGAGAGCGCGGUCCCCCACACUGGCACUGCGACACGGGCCAGACUCCUACGGGAGGCAGCAGUAAGGAAUCUUGCGCAAUGGGCGAAAGCCAGACGCAGCGACGCCGCGUGGGCGAAGAAGGCCUUCGGGUUGUAAAGCCCUUUUCCAGGGGAAGAGGAAGGACGGUACCCUGGGAAUAAGUCCCGGCUAACUAUGUGCCAGCAGCCGCGGUAAGACAUAGGGGACGAGCGUUAUCCGGAUUUACUGGGCGUAAAGAGCGUUGAGGCGGUUCCGUAAGUUGGAUGUGAAAGCCCCGGGCUUAACUCGGGGAGGUCGUUCAAUACUGCGGGGCUAGAGGGCAGCAGAGGGAGGUGGAAUUCCCGGUGUAGUGGUGAAAUGCGUAGAUAUCGGGAGGAACACCCGUGGCGAAGGCGGCCUCCUGGGCUGACCCUGACGCUGAAUGCGAAAGCU
This 715-nucleotide ribosomal RNA is filed under the name uncultured organism. RNAcentral's name for it is "bacterial SSU rRNA". It matches the Rfam family "Bacterial small subunit ribosomal RNA", at positions 24 to 761 of the family's 1533-position model. The record is from RNAcentral.